This 78-nucleotide small nuclear RNA is filed under the name Tetrahymena thermophila. Lineage: Eukaryota; Ciliophora; Oligohymenophorea; Hymenostomatida; Tetrahymenidae. The record is from RNAcentral.
GAUUGGACACCCGAAGCUAUCCGUUAAAAUUGGAACGAUACAGAGAAGAUUAGCAUGGCCCCUGCACAAGGAUGACAC